Mastomys coucha (southern multimammate mouse) is the source of this 607-nucleotide long non-coding RNA. RefSeq lists it as uncharacterized. The record is from RefSeq and is a predicted model, not a curated record. The transcript is spliced from 4 exons. NCBI's taxonomy places the organism in Eukaryota, Metazoa, Chordata, Mammalia, Rodentia, Muridae.
AUAGGACUAAGCUUCAGAAUAUAACAACAAAACCGUCAAAAACAAAAAUUCAAAUAAUAUAGUUAAAAUGGAAUAAUUAAUUUGAAAAAUUUUCAAAACUAGCUGUUAACACUUGGGAAGAGAUUUGCUCUCCUAAAACUCGGCCUGAAGCUGUGCCACACUCCUCACUGGCUAGUCCGCCUGUCAGCCCAACCCUACUCAACUCAGUACAGGGCAGCAUGGAGAGACAGAGCAUCUUGGAAGAGAGGGCAGAGACAGUCCGGUCCGGUCCGUGCUUGCUGGAUUCUCUUCACAAGGGCUUCCCCACCAAGCUGGGCCAGAGAUCUCCAUGGGAAACCUCCAAUAAGACCCACAGGAAGCUACUAACAUGAUUGAAAGCUAAGGACAACCCACAUUUCACAAGGAACUCAAGAAGAAGGAAGACCAAAAGGCCUGCUCUUUUAUUGGUGGGAAACAGAAGAGUGGAUCUGGGCGAGAGUGGAGGAAGAAGUAUUGGGAAGAGUGGAGCCAGAAUAUACUGUUUGAGACAAUAACAACAACAACAACAACAACAAACAAUUACAGGCCCAUAAAUAGAACUUGACACCACGUUACCUCAGGAAGAAAU